UACGAAGGGGGCUAGCGUUGCUCGGAAUCACUGGGCGUAAAGCGCACGUAGGCGGGUCCUUAAGUCGGGGGUGAAAUCCUGGAGCUCAACUCCAGAACUGCCUUCGAUACUGAGGAUCUCGAGUCCGGGAGAGGUGAGUGGAACUCCGAGUGUAGAGGUGAAAUUCGUAGAUAUUCGGAAGAACACCAGUGGCGAAGGCGGCUCACUGGCCCGGUACUGACGCUGAGGUGCGAAAGCGUGGGGAGCAAACCGG
This 253-nucleotide ribosomal RNA is filed under the name uncultured bacterium. Its description in RNAcentral is "partial 16S ribosomal RNA". It matches the Rfam family "Bacterial small subunit ribosomal RNA", at positions 524 to 776 of the family's 1533-position model. The record is from RNAcentral.